This 271-nucleotide ribosomal RNA is filed under the name uncultured Synergistaceae bacterium. RNAcentral's name for it is "partial 16S ribosomal RNA". It matches the Rfam family "Bacterial small subunit ribosomal RNA", at positions 1113 to 1382 of the family's 1533-position model. The record is from RNAcentral. Lineage: Bacteria; Thermotogati; Synergistota; Synergistia; Synergistales; Synergistaceae.
AGUGCCAUCGGGUGAAGCCGGGCACUCUGGAAGGACUGCCAUCGACAGGAUGGAGGAAGGUGGGGACGACGGUCAAGUCAUCAUGGCCCUUAUGUCCAGGGCGACACACGUGCUACAAUGGCCGGCACAACGGGAAGCGAGUUCGCGAGGACGAGCGGAUCCCUUAAAGCCGGUCGCAGUUCGGAUUGAAGUCUGCAACUCGACUUCAUGAAGCUGGAAUCGCUAGUAAUCGCAGAUCAGCCAAGCUGCGGUGAAUACGUUCCCGGGCCUU